RNAcentral lists this long non-coding RNA (658 nucleotides) under Homo sapiens (human). RNAcentral describes it as "long non-coding RNA NONHSAT185224.1". The record is from RNAcentral. Lineage: Eukaryota; Metazoa; Chordata; Mammalia; Primates; Hominidae.
CCAAUUUCUUUCUGCAAGAAAAAGCCUAUUCCUGCCACUCUCCUACCUAAGAAGAGUUUGGGUGUCUGAGCUGGGCUUGGUGGCAGAAUCCCAGAUGCUUCACCUGGGCCAAACACAGCACAAGGAGGCAAGGCUUAGAAGGAAUGCAGCCCCAAGCAUUGAAGAGACCUUCCCAAAGACACAUGGAUAUGAAGCACUUAUGAAAAGAGGACUGAGAUGGAACUGCAGGGCAGGCUUUCUCAGCCUGGGCACUAUUCACAUUUAAGCUAAAUCAUUAUCUGUUGGGGAAGCUGACCUGGGCGUUGUAGGAUAUUUAACAGCAUUCAUCUUUUGUCUGUCUGUAUUAAAUUUCAGUAGCACCUGUCUCCCAAGUUGUGACAACCCAAAAAAGUGUUCAGAUGUUAUCACAUACCCCCUGGGAAACAAAAUUAGCCCCCUCCCCACCCUGAGAAAGCCUGCUCUAGGGGAUGGCAACUUGAGAGAUCAGCCGAAAGGGGCUCUGGGGCGUAGAGUGUGGAGGUAUUCCCUGAGCUAAUAAAGUGAAACCUCACUGGAUUUUUUUUUUUUAUUGUGUUUCAGAUCUCGGUGAUGAAGGGAAGACAGCUCUUAAAUAACCAAUGGCAUACCAGGAAUAUGCUUGUUGCUUCCUAUGUUAAUG